RNAcentral lists this ribosomal RNA (255 nucleotides) under uncultured bacterium. RNAcentral's name for it is "partial 16S ribosomal RNA". It matches the Rfam family "Bacterial small subunit ribosomal RNA", at positions 524 to 776 of the family's 1533-position model. The record is from RNAcentral.
UACGGGGGGAGCAAGCGUUGUUCGGAUUUACUGGGCGUAAAGGGCGCGUAGGCGGUCGUGACAAGUCACUUGUGAAAUCUCCGGGCUUAACUCGGAACGGUCAAGUGAUACUGUCGGACUAGAGUACAGAAGGGGGCAACUGGAAUUCUCGGUGUAGCGGUGAAAUGCGUAGAUAUCGAGAGGAACACCUGCGGCGAAGGCGGGUUGCUGGGCUGAUACUGACGCUGAGGCGCGAAAGCCAGGGGAGCAAACGGG